UACGAAGGGGGCGAGCGUUGUUCGGAUUUACUGGGCGUAAAGGGCGCGCAGGCGGCUCAUUUUGUCAGGCGUGAAAGCCCCGGGCUUAACCUGGGAACUGCAUCCGAUACGGCGGGACUGGAGUGUGGGAGAGGUUGGUGGAAUUCCCAGUGUAGAGGUGAAAUUCGUAGAUAUUGGGAAGAACACCGGUGGCGAAGGCGGCCAACUGGACCACAACUGACGCUGAGGCGCGAAAGCGUGGGGAGCAAACAGG
This 253-nucleotide ribosomal RNA is filed under the name uncultured bacterium. Its description in RNAcentral is "partial 16S ribosomal RNA". It matches the Rfam family "Bacterial small subunit ribosomal RNA", at positions 524 to 776 of the family's 1533-position model. The record is from RNAcentral.